UAUGUGAUCGUCUCUCGCAUAUCAAUAAGCGGAGGAAAAGAAACUAACAAGGAUUCCCCUAGUAACGGCGAGUGAAGCGGGAAGAGCUCAAAUUUGAAAUCUUAAAGGGUUUCCCUUUACGAAUUGUAGUUUAAAGAAGUGUUUUCUGUUGAGGUUUUGGUAAAAGUCCUUUGGAACAGGGCAUCAUAGAGGGUGAGAAUCCCGUCUUUGACUCGAGUAUUUUGUCUUUUUAUGAUACGUUUUCCAAGAGUCAGGUUGUUUGGGAAUGCAGCCUAAAUUGGGUGGUAAAUCUCACCUAAAGCUAAAUAUUUGCGAGAGACCGAUAGCGAACAAGUACCGUGAGGGAAAGAUGAAAAGAACUUUGAAAAGAGAGUUAAACAGUACGUGAAAUUGUCAAAAGGGAAGCGUUUGACACCAGUGUUGUUUUCCUGAAAAUCAAUUAAAGAACUGUUUAUGCUAAGCUGUUUAGACUUUAUCAGCUAUCUGUUUAGUUUUGAGCUUUUCUUUAAUGCACUUUUCAGUUAACAAGUCAACAUCAAUUUCUUUUGCUGUAAAAAAGCUUGAGGAAGGUGGCUUGAGAUUCGUCUUAAGUGUUUAUAGCCUCUUGCCUAUGCAGUCGGAGAGAUUGUAGGUCUGCAGCGUAGAUCCUUCGGGGCUAAAUGCAUUUGUGCUAAGUUAUAGCAUAUUAUAGACAACUUGUUGACUAUGAUUUGUCUUGUAGCUUACUCGCUUAUGUUAUUUUACCUACGCUUAGGAUGUUGAAGAUAUGCGCGACACG
Molecule: ribosomal RNA, 778 nt
Filed under: uncultured Neocallimastigales
Lineage: Eukaryota; Fungi; Neocallimastigomycota; Neocallimastigomycetes; Neocallimastigales
Description: partial large subunit ribosomal RNA
Rfam family: Eukaryotic large subunit ribosomal RNA
Source: RNAcentral